GGUAAUUUGGGAGGUCCAGCGCAGCCUACCGGAUCAGUCGCUGGGUCAUCGUCUCCUUCGAUAGCCAUGCGCCCUGCGGGGCAGGGUACGUCGACAUCAGCAAGCCGCGGCAGAGGUCGUGGCGGGGCUCCCAGUUCAAGCGGUCCUUCGAACCGCAUCUAUGCCUUGACUAGUCGACAGGACCCGGAGGCGCUACCAAACGCGGAUACAGAUUCGGAGUGAAACGGGAUUUGAGUUUUGGCGAACGUAAGACGCAUAUAAGGUACCGACGACAGGUUUGCUGAGCCGUCCGCUUAGGAUCUUAUUCUCCUAUUUUGGAGCGCUCUCUUAUCCAGAGCCCAUCUUUUGGUAUAGUCUGUCACUACUGUAUAUAUAUAUAUUCUCGUUCAUGGGUAUGGCGGGGCCCUGUCCCGUCAUAUGAUUCUGUCGGUCUGUUUAGAGGUCUGUGGACAUGUUUGUGGGUUAGGGUCUUUCUG
Long non-coding RNA from Lycium barbarum (goji berry), 476 nucleotides. RefSeq lists it as uncharacterized. The record is from RefSeq and is a predicted model, not a curated record. NCBI's taxonomy places the organism in Eukaryota, Viridiplantae, Streptophyta, Magnoliopsida, Solanales, Solanaceae. The transcript is spliced from 3 exons.